GAUAGCCCCCAUCGCUUUCAAAAUCUUAAUUACUUUUUAUCAUUUUUGAGGCUCUCCUUUUGAUUACCUGCACUGUCUCUAGAAGCUUUCUGCCAGACUUUUAAUAUGCCCUGUUCCCCCAUUUCUCCUGUUUCCGCUCUUAUCUGCGAAAAUUUCCUUCAAAUGCUUCUUGGUGCUUCAUUUUCUCAACUGUUCCCCAUGUCCGUCAGUUCUCUCGUCUCCUUCCGACACUGUCAAACUCCUCACAUCUUCCUCCAGUGCUAACAUGGCCUACCUCGGUAGUCGAUGUCCCAGGUUAGUAUUCCUACUCUCAACCGCUCCUCUUACAAGUUCAUUAGCAACCCCAUUACCAAAUUUAGAUAUUUUUUGAAAGCGGCACUCUUCAAAUCCUUUGCUUAAUAGUUGUUUAUCCUGUAUGUACGAACGUAGUACUGAUCGAUCCUCUUUUAAUGCCUUCACUCAUCGAAUAACACUGAGUGCAUCUCCUUCGAUGACUACCCGUCGGAGUCCCAUUUCUAACCCCGCCUGAACUGGCUGUAGACAGGCUAUUGCCUCUUUUCGAAAGGGUACUUGAGAGUAAUAUGAGUGAAAAGCAGUGGAAAUUAGAAUAUUGGAGCAUUCCAAAAGCUGUCCACAUGCAGCAGAUUUUCAUAUAGGCAAUCCACAUGACUGUGUGUUCGGGGUGCGUCGAUCUUGAGAACUGUGUGCACUAACAACUAAAAGUUACAAUUUUAAAGAUUUUUAGUGUUUUAAGAGGAUGUAAAUAGGGAAAUAAAAGGAAAUAAAGGCAGCCACCAAGGGAAAGCAAGAAAAUUACCUUGAGAACACCAUUGAAGUCAAUCUUCAAGCAAUUUUCCACAAAGAUUUAAGAGUCCAAGUUGAUUUUCAAGGGAGUUAUCAUGGAUUUCUUUUAUUUUAGUGGUUAUAUAGUAUUAUUGGUUACUCUUGCUAUUAUUAAUUAAUUCUCUUAAUACCAAGAGAGAUGAACCCCGGGAUAGAUUCUAUUGUUUGAUUUCUAUUUUUAUGCAAUAAAAUCUUAGUUUCUUUGUUUUCAA
This is a long non-coding RNA of Gossypium arboreum, 1055 nucleotides long. RefSeq lists it as uncharacterized. NCBI's taxonomy places the organism in Eukaryota, Viridiplantae, Streptophyta, Magnoliopsida, Malvales, Malvaceae. The record is from RefSeq and is a predicted model, not a curated record. The transcript is spliced from 2 exons.